AGAUUGAACGCUGGCGGCAGGCCUAACACAUGCAAGUCGAGCGGCAGCACGGGUACUUGUACCUGGUGGCGAGCGGCGGACGGGUGAGUAAUGCCUAGGAAUCUGCCUGGUAGUGGGGGAUAACGCUCGGAAACGGACGCUAAUACCGCAUACGUCCUACGGGAGAAAGCAGGGGACCUUCGGGCCUUGCGCUAUCAGAUGAGCCUAGGUCGGAUUAGCUAGUUGGUGAGGUAAUGGCUCACCAAGGCGACGAUCCGUAACUGGUCUGAGAGGAUGAUCAGUCACACUGGAACUGAGACACGGUCCAGACUCCUACGGGAGGCAGCAGUGGGGAAUAUUGGACAAUGGGCGAAAGCCUGAUCCAGCCAUGCCGCGUGUGUGAAGAAGGUCUUCGGAUUGUAAAGCACUUUAAGUUGGGAAGGAAGGCAGUUACCUAAUACGUAUCUGUUUUGACGUUACGACAAGAAUAAGCACGCUAACUCUGU
RNAcentral lists this ribosomal RNA (485 nucleotides) under uncultured soil bacterium. RNAcentral describes it as "bacterial SSU rRNA". It matches the Rfam family "Bacterial small subunit ribosomal RNA", at positions 26 to 506 of the family's 1533-position model. The record is from RNAcentral.